GACGAACGCUGGCGGCGUGCUUAACACAUGCAAGUCGAACGGUAAGGCCCUUCGGGUACGACGAGUGGCGAACGGGUGAGUAACACGUGGGUGAUCUGCCCUGCACUUCGGGAUAAGCCUGGGAAACUGGGUCUAAUACCGGAUAGGACCAUGGACUUCACGGUUUGUGGUGGAAAGCUUUUGCGGUGUGGGAUGGGCCCGCGGCCUAUCAGCUUGUUGGUGGGGUAAUGGCCUACCAAGGCGACGACGGGUAGCCGGCCUGAGAGGGUGUCCGGCCACACUGGGACUGAGAUACGGCCCAGACUCCUACGGGAGGCAGCAGUGGGGAAUAUUGCACAAUGGGCGCAAGCCUGAUGCAGCGACGCCGCGUGAGGGAUGACGGCCUCGGUUGUAAC
This 395-nucleotide ribosomal RNA is filed under the name uncultured bacterium. RNAcentral describes it as "bacterial SSU rRNA". It matches the Rfam family "Bacterial small subunit ribosomal RNA", at positions 28 to 429 of the family's 1533-position model. The record is from RNAcentral.